Molecule: long non-coding RNA, 8395 nt
Filed under: Sus scrofa (pig)
Lineage: Eukaryota; Metazoa; Chordata; Mammalia; Artiodactyla; Suidae
Description: lncRNA (ENSSSCG00055017329.1)
Source: RNAcentral
CAGUUGAGGCCAGAGACUUGGAGUAAUGUGAUUGGCCACUCCAUUUGAAACACAGGUGGGUAAGAAAGAAGCAGUCUUUGAAAGUAAGAAACUGGUGAAAAGCAUAAAGAUGUACUUAAUACACAAGUGAAACACACUUAGGUCCAUUCUGUCAGGAUGGAGUACAAAGUAUAUGCAAGGAAAGCUGAAUAGAGACACAGUAGAUGGAGUUUUAUAGCAUCUAAUAUUUCAUGAAAUUGAUUUAUCUUUUAAAACUAAAUAUAGUCAUAGUGCAUACUGUAAGUAAAUCAACUCAGUUAUGCAUAUAUUUGUACAUAUAUAUAUAUCAAUUUGAUUUAAUGUCCAUAAAUAGCAAUCUAAUUAUUUAAAAUCAUGGUUAUGUUUGUAUUUCUAUAGGAAUAUGAACAUAAGACCUUAACAAACAAAGAUCUUAACAAAGAUAGUUUAAACAAAGAUCUUAGGGAUAUUUUUGUUUGUAUUUAAAUUUUUUUUCCCUUACUUCUAGUCAUUGAAGAACUAAGAUAAACUGAUUUUAAAUUAAAAAGCAGAUUUUUCUUUUCCCAUCCUGGCCUGUCCUCAGCCAGCAGUUCCACAGGAUGACAGUUUUCAGGAAGAGUCAAGAUCUUUCUUAAAUGAAAAAUGAUUAUUCAUCAUAAUAAAAAUGUACACAGUACCUUAAUGAGUAGAUGUGCUAAUGUCUAUUCACUCUUUAGACAUAUUAGACUAAAUUUGUUUUUUAGCCCUAACAUGCACAAUCACAAAUAAAAUGCUUAAUUAUCGCUUUAAAAUAGCAUCAUAUCAGCUGCUUUUACAGUAUAUUUAGGUUAUGAGUCACCGAAUGUUUUUCAAAAUGACAAGAGUGAAAUGUAUUAUUGAAAAAUGACAGUGGUUGAAUUUUCUAUUUUGGUUUUCUAUUUUGGGUAAUGGAAGCAUGAAAUAAGAUUCUACAUGGAGUAGCAAGUGGUUUAAUUCUUUUCACAAAAAAAUUAACUACCUAUUACAUGUACAGUAUAGUUCUAAGCAGUGAGGACACAAAGACAUUAAGACUUAGCUUCCGAUCUCAAGACCACAAUCUACGGAGUGAAUAGAUUUGUAUAACUUUGCACAUAUAUAUGAGAUGUUAUGUGGCAGAACAUAUGUAAUCUAUAGCUGGUCUAUUGUCCAUGAAUAGUAAUAGUUGAUUAUUAGUGUGAGCUGCUUUGCUCUGAGGUAUUCAGAGGGAGAAAAAACUAAUUUUGCCCAAAAGAAGAGUCAGGAUCUGGUUAGAUAUGAUUUGCAAGAGAAGAUUAGGCAUGAGUUUUGAAGGAUUAGAAGGGGUGAUCAAGUCAGCAAGUGAGAGUAUAGGGUGAUGUAUAGGUGUAGAGUAUGGUGCAACAAGUUUUACCUAACCAAUGUUUCCUGGAUUUUAUGUGGAAGCUGUGAGAUAUUCAGCGUGUAAUAGAGUACAGAGGAAUAUUAAAUGACCAACAAUUCAUUUGAAGUUGUUACCCUGUUCAUGUCCCAGAUAUUCUGUAAGCCAGCGUUGGAAAAUACAAGGCUAGAGCAGAACUACAGCACUGCCAUCACUGAACCUUCCUUUGGGGGACCUAUUUAGAAAGCACAUAAUUCCAUUCUAAAGGUGAGGGUGAGGAGAUGGGACAUUAUUUGCUUAUAGGUCCAUCUCAUGACAUUUGUACAUAGGUGACUAUAGCAAUGGGAUCAGCCAUCAUAGAGAUCUAAAGAAAAGCAAAUAAAUUACUAAGAAAAGAGUCAAAAGUGGAACAUGAAAAAAAAUGCACUCAGAAAAAAAGUAGUGCCUAAAAGAAACAAGGGGAGUUCCAGUCCUGGCUCAGCAGUUAAUCCUUAACCCACUGAGCGAGGCCAGGGAUCAAACCCACAACCUCAUGGUUCCUAGUCAUGUUCGUUUCUGCUGUGCCAUGAUGGGAACUCCAUGGAUUGCCCAUUUCUAGUACCGCUUCUCUCCAUCUGAUCUUAACCAUUUUGCCUCAUUACCUUUCUUCUUUUUUAUGAUGUUUUCUGCAGUGUUUCCCCAAAUUCAUUUCUUUAACAUCUCUCAGAUCUGCCCCUCUUGUUUUCCUCCACAUCAUCACUGCCCUGACUCAGGCCUGUGCUGUUUCUUGCUUGUGUCAUUGAAAGAGCCUCCAACAGGAUUCAAUGUUCAGCAUUGUCUUUCUUGUCUUUUCUGCAUGCCGUAGGCAGAGCUUUCUAAGUGCAGAUUCUACUUUAAUUAUAUCAUUGCUUUUCUUAUAAUAAUACUUCAGUUGCUCCCUAUUAUUCUUAGAAUAAAAUUAGACUUUCUCCCAAAGGCAAACAAAUCCUUUGUAAUCUUGCCCUUACUUGUCUACUUCCCCAGUCUCAUUUUAUUUUAUUUUAUUUAUUUAUUUAUUUAUUUAUUUAUUUAUUUUUUAAGGCUGCACCCACAGCAUAUUGAAGUUCCCAGGCUAGGGAUUAAAUUGAAGCUAUAGCUGCUGACCUAUGCCACAGCCACAGCAACGCCAGAUCCAUGCUGCAUCUGUGACCUACAUCACAGCUCUAGGCAAUGCUGGAUCCUUAACCCACUGAGUGAGGCCAGGGAUUGAACCCACAUCGCCAUGGAUACUAGUUGGAUUCGUCCGCUGAGCCACGAUGGGGAGUCCCCCAGUCUCAUUUUAAAUUAUCUUCUCUUACUUUCUUCUUUCCCCUCUGCCUUCCUCUUGCUUUCCAAUCCACUUGAAAUUCAACUACACUGACCUUCCUCCAUGUCCUCCAAUGUAUAGUUUUCUCUUUCAUCGUUCUUUUUCCAACCCUUACUCUGUCUACUAACUCCAACUCUUCCUUCAGUCUUAAUCCCAGCUUUUACUCCUUCAGCCUCCCCUGACCCACCAGUGGUCUUGGUUACGUAACCCGUAUACACUCAACACUGUCUGUUGGAUUCAUUUAUUUCACUAUGUUUCUCCCUUUAAAGGCUGCAAAUUCCUUGAGCACAGUGAUGUUUUAUUCAUCUCUACAUUUAGUCCAGAGGCUGGCAUAUAGGUACUUUAAAACAUGAAUAGUCCUUUUAUGCUGAGAUGAUAUUCAAGAUGCUUACCUUCUAAAUUAAAGAUCUCUUCUCUGAUUCUAGCAGUUACCAAAUAUCCUUCACUCUUCUUAAGUGUGUAUUUCUAAAGUUUCUCCAAACACAUUAAUUCUUUUGGUGAUUUUCCUAUGUAGCCUAGGGAUUAUAUGGUCCAUGGGACAUCUCUCUCUCUCUCUUUAAUAUAAACAAAAGUUCUUAAAUCCCUCUGUCCUUCCGCAAGCCAUGUGAGAUAAUGAGGAAACUCAGUAAGAGACACAUGGUCUCUGAUCACACGUGGUCAUCUUGUAACAUCUUCCCUCUCCUUCUCCUCAUUUAUCGCCUCCUGAAUGAGCACACAUUCUCUGUGCUAAGUUUUUUUCCUUAACUGUCUUUUUGUUAAACGAACAUCUACUGAGCAAAUACUAUGAAUGAGUCAGUGUUAUUAUAUUAAGUAUAUAAUUGUCAAGCUCAGGAUUAAAAUGUAGUAUUAUAAAGGCUAAAUAUGUCUUUAUGUUUUAAAUGUAUGGUUUAUAGUUCUUUACUUUUUUUUGCAUUGGAUUGUAAAGUUUGGAAUAAUAAAGAUUAUUUUAUUUACCAAUCCUGUAUCAUAUUUCCACAACCAGGUUAUAGAAUAAAGAGAUAGAUAGCCAAAUCUAUUUUAGAACCUAAAUAUUCACAGAGAAGAAAGGAUGAGGGAAAUUUACAAAAUAACAUAUAAAGCCCUCAGGUCAAAGGCAAGCAUCAGAGCAAGUUUAAAGGUGUGUGUGUACCCAAGGCAAAAAGAGUUUCAGACCUUUCCUGUGGUUAUGUAUGUAACCAGUGUCUGAGUUUGACCUGGAGCGAGGCACAUACAACUAUCUAUGCCAGAGGAGAAAUGCACUUUCUUUGAGUAGUGCCUUUCUCUGAAAUUUUUUUCAGAGCAAUUUCCAUUUAUUUUAUACUUUACUCUUAGUGAGACCUUAUUUCCUUCUUGUUCAUUCUCAAUCAUUUAUUCAUGUCUUCAUCAAAAUAAUAAUUGAGCAUUCACUUCUGGACUGGAAAUAUUCUGGCAGUGGGCAAUAGAGCAGUGAACAGAACACACAGAAAUACCUACCCACAAAAUAUUUAUGUUCUAGUGGAGGGAGAUAGACAAUAAUAGAGAUAAAUAAGUAAUAUUUUAGAAUGUUAGGUAGUGAUAAGUACUCUGGAGAACAAAAAUUAAGUGGAAAGGUUUAUCCAAAGGUGUAUCGCCAAAGGAGUUUGUAGGUGCAAUUUAAAUAGAGAAAAGCACUCCAGGCUGAAGGGACAGCAAAGGAAAAUACCCUGAGGUAAUGAGUUUUUGUGGAGUAUUCCAGGAGGCAAGGAGGCCAGUGCGCUGUAAUGCAGGGAGUGGUGGAAAGAGGAGAUAAAGAGAUAAUGGUCUAUAGGGCUUUAUAGGUCACUGUUCAGAGUUGUGUACUUACCCUGUUAAGACUUUGAUGUUAACUCUAAAGUGUGAGGCCAUUGGAGGGAUUUGAGAAGAUGAAAGGCGUGACCUGACUUAUGUUUCCAAAGGCCCUCCUGGCUCUUAUGUUGAGAAUGGAUUGAUGCAUGCAGGAUGGAAGCAAGGAGACCAGUUCAUUCACAUAUUGUGUAAGAGUAUUGUAAUAGGAGAAGGAUGAUGGUGGCUUGGCAAAAGUGAUAGCAAUGGAAGCAGAAUAAGUGAUCACAUUUUGGAAUUGUUCUGAUGAUAGAAGUGAUAUGAUUUCAUGAUGAAUUAGAGAUGGACAAUGACAGAAAGAUGAAUCCAAGGUGUUUCAGCAUGAACAACCAAAAGAAUGGAGCUUCCAAAAGUUGAGAAAAAGAAAAUUAUGUGAGGGGCAAAUUUUAGAGGGAAAAGAUGGGGAGUUUUGUUUUAGAUAUAGUAAGUUAGAUUACCUGUUAGAGAUUUCCAAGGGGAGAUGUUGAGUAGAUGGAUGUAUAAAGAAGUCUAGGGUCCAGUGGGAGCUGUUCAGGAUGGAGAUUUGUUGAAUGUGGUAAUAGAUAUUACAGGAAAUAGAAAGUAGCUCUAAAAUACCAUCUUUGCUUUCUAGAAAUGUGUGCUCUACUGACUGGGCAUGUUAGAUACAUAAAAGUAAUUAACAAAUAAUGUAAAGUAGUAGAUGUAAUAUAUCUAUAAAGUGUGGGUAUCAAAAUGAGUGCUGGUGUAGGAGGUACAGUAAUCCCUCAGAGAAGUGUACAUUUAGGGAAAGGUCUGGUGAGAAGUCGAGAUUUGAAGUAGCUUGGAAGCAUGUGUUAAAUUUCACUGAUUACAAAGGGGGGAGAGGUAUCCCAGGCCCAGAAGGUACAAAGUGAGAACAACACAAAACUCUUGAAACACAGAUGAGAUCUUCCCAUCUGUGUGGGAUGUAUGUAUAGAAAUCCCAAAUUAGGCCACACAGUGUAGAAUUGCUGAAGAAGGGAUGUUAAUUUGACCUGGCAAGAAGUAUCCCUAGAGUUUUCUGAAUUAGCAAGUAACAUAUGCAAUACAUUGUUUUCAGUAAAUGAAACCUGCCGCCAUCUUGAAGUUAAUCAGUUCUGCAGAUCCAGCUUUGAUAUUUCCUCUAAAAUAUUGUCCAUCAGAAGCCUGAAGCCGAACUGAUAGGAAAAGAUGUCUAAUUUCAUAGGUGUGAAGUACUUUCAUUGUUUUAAAAUAGAAAUAGAUCUAAUUGAUCUAUAUAUGUACAAUUUAUGUGAAAUUAUUAUCAUGUUCCCAGGUUUGCACUUUUGAUCAUUUGGAAGCAGUUAUAUUAAUGUUAUGAAUUUGGGUAGUCUGGGAUAAUGUGUAUCUUUUAGCUCUAGGCAAUCUGUCUUUCUACCCUAUAAGAAAAUUGGCAGUUUUCUAUUGGCCAGUAAAAACCAUCCUGCAGAAAGAGAAGGUAACAAUAGGAACUAUGGAGGUUAAAACUCGAAACAUGUUUGCCUUCCAUGAAGUGGCUGUGCUUGCCCUGCUUCUAGUCACACCUUAGUUUUCCAAGCUGACUGUAUAAUCCGAGUCUUUCUCCGGAGAUAAUACAGGGUGCAGGCCCCUUCAAAGAAGGGAUUUGUGCUUGCUGCCAGCUCCCGGAGCUCUGUUCUGUCGAGUAGUUAAGAUCUCCAGAGUGGCUUAUAGGCUUUGUGUAAUUUCUAUCUGCACCCAGACAGCUGGACUUCAUUUCGUUUUAUUUGCAUUUAAUAAUAAGCCGCCUUUCCUUAGCUGUUAAAUUGUGAAUUAUCAAACACUAUCAAAUCCUCCUGCCCAUAUUCUGACUACACUUACUUUGAAACAGACCCAUUGGUAACACUCUGGUUCCAGGGAAAAGCUGGGCUUCGUGCCAUAUAUUUCAGGGUGGGAACUACUCUGAUAUAUUUCUUUGGGGGCUAAAAAAUGCCGUUUCUGAUCUAAUGCGAACACUGGGAACAGCACAGCAAGCUUUGUGGAGGAUUCAUCUUUAAUUAUUAAAACAGGAGAGAUCAUUCAUGCCUCUUUGAAGUUCUUAUUUUAUUUUCAGGAGAGGAAAUGAAUGUACAAGUCACUACAUGUGAAACAGGGUAAAAGUGAGUGUAAAAAGAAGAAAAGAACGAGUAACAGAAGAAAUAGACAAUAGAGGGAAAUCGUGACUGUAAAGAGGAAAGGAACAGUAGAAGUGAGAAGAAAGGACAGAGAUGGUCUGCUUGGUAGGAAGCUGGGACAUAGCUCUCAAUAAUAUUUGGAAAUAAGUGGAUUUGAGAUCUCUUUGCUAAGUCAACUGUUAGCAGCUACUGGGCUUAAAAGAGCUAAUGAUAAAGGAAAGGAUGAGGAAUAAGGGGGAAAGAUUUUACAUAUUAAAUCUUGCUGAGGCAUUAUGUCUUCUUGCUGUGGAAUUGGAAGAAAAAACAUAUAUAUAUAAAAACUGAGGAAGCUAGAAUGGGGUGAGGAAUUGUAAGGAAGAACAAAUCACGACCAGAAUAAAAAGUCAGUCAAUAUCAAGCAUCAAAGAUCUCAGUGUGUGGUUUUUCUUUCUGUCUAAAAGUGUCCAGUCCUGGUAAUUAGAAAGUGAGCAUAAUGAUGGGCUGGUCUGAAUCAUGCUUUAAUGAGUCAAAAUUACAGCAAGCUGGCAUCCGUUAUACGGAAGCAUUUGUGUUGGGGGGAAGGUUGGGGGGACAAGGUGUCAUUUUUCAGGAGAGAACAUUACUAAAGCCCUAGGUGUAUUGACACAACUGGUCAUGGGCUCCAGGCCGGGAGUAGCAGAGGGAACACAGGAUUUAUGUGCACUAAUGGACUCUGUGAUUAUUAUUCUCCAUGUUAUUAUUGUUAUCAUGGAUAAUGUACAUAUACAUCAACAAUUAAUUAUUGGGAGCUCCCCUUGUGGCUCAGCAGAAAUGAACCUGACUAGUAUCCAUGAGGAAAUAGGUUCAAUCUCUGGCCUCACUCAGUGGGUAAAGAUCCGGUGUUGCUAUGAGUUGGGGUGAAGGUCACAGACAUGGCUUGGAUCUCCCAUUGCUGUGACUGUGGUGUAGGCUGGCAAUUGCAGCUCCAAUUCAAUGCCUAGCAUGGGAACUUCCAUAUACUUCAGGUGCAGUCCUAAAAUACUAAAUAAAUAAAUAAAUAUCAUUUAGUUGCUUCUCAUGCUUGAGGAACUAGAGCCUUUUCUGGCUUACAGUGAAAAAACUGUAAGUUAAAGAGUGAGUUUGGACCUGGGAGAUGCUACUGUUAACCACAGACCCUGGACAGACAUUUGCUACUCUCUAAUGAGGUUCUCUCUUAUUUUAUUGUCCUCUAACCUGAUAUAUAUAUGGGAUUAAAAUGAACUUUCCCCAAUAAAGAGAGGAAUAUGGAAAGGAAACAAAAAUAUUUGUGUAUGUAGCGCCUGAAGCAUCUGGAGUCAGAGGACCAAAUUCACUAGUUCUCCAGCAUAAUAGCAUCAGUUCCAACCCAGGACACAAUCAUAAAACAGCACUCCAGUGCACAUAAAACAACUAAAUCCUCUCUUCCUUGCUGCUCCAUCAUCUCAUCUAUUCUUCAUGCUACCAACGUUGCAGUACACCUUAAACUAAUUAGAAACAGAUUUCCCAUUUCCUCAUGGCUUUAUAUUUAGUUUGUCAAUGAGCCAAUUUCUCGGCAGAUUCACUUUAAUGACACACAGCUAAGGAAUUCCCAUUGUGGGGCAGUAGAAAUGAUUCCGACUAGUAUCCCAUGAGGAUGUAAGUCUGAUCCCUGAACUGCUCAGUGGGUCAGGGAUCCAGCAUUGUCAUGAGCCGUGGGGAAGGUUGCAGAUGUGGCUCAGAUCCCAUUUUGCUGUGGCUCUAGCUUAGGCUGGCAGCUGUAGCUCUGAUUCGACCCCCAGCCUAGGAACUUCCAUAUGUCAUGGGUACAGACCUAAAAAAAAAAAAAAAAAAAAAAAA